AGGGGGUGGAGUCUGUUCCUAUGGGGACCAGGCUGAAGAGGGGGUGGAGUCUGUUCCUAUGGGGACCAGGCUGAAAAGGCAGUGCGUGAGGGGGUGGAGUCUGUUCCUAUGGGGACCAGGCUGAAGAGGGGGUGGAGUCUGUUCCUAUGGGGACCAGGCUGAAGAGGGGGUGGAGUAUGUUCCUAUGGGGACCAGGCUGAAAAGGUGGUGUGUGAGGGGGUGGAGUCUGUUCCUAUGGGGACCAGGCUGAAAAGGAGGUGUGUGAGUUGAUGGAGUAUGUUCCUAUGGGGACCAGGCUGAAAAGGUGGUGUAUGAGGGGUGGAGUCUGUUUCUAUGGGGACCAGGCUGAAAAGGAGGUGUGUGAGUUGAUGGAGUCUGUUCCUAUGGGACCAGGCUGAAGAGGGGGUGGAGUCAGUUCCUAUGGGGAUCAGGCUGAAAAGGUGGUGUGUGAGGGGGUGGAGUCUGUUCCUAUGGGGACCAGGCUGAAAAGGCGGUGUGUGAGGAGGUGGAGUCUACCAAUGGGGACCAGGCUGAAAAGGAGGUGGAGUCAGUUCCUAUGGGGACCAGGCUGAAGAGGGGGUGGAGUCUGUUCCUAUGGGGACCAGGCUGAAAGGGGGGGUGGAGUCUGUUCCUAUGGGGACCAGGUUGAAAAGGCUGUGUGUGAGGGGGUGGAGUCUGGUCCUAAGGGGACCAGGCUGAAGAGGGGGUGGAGUCUGUUCCUAUGGGGACCAGGCUG
Molecule: long non-coding RNA, 736 nt
Organism: Oncorhynchus tshawytscha (Chinook salmon)
Lineage: Eukaryota; Metazoa; Chordata; Actinopteri; Salmoniformes; Salmonidae
Source: Ensembl